GACGAACGCUGGCGGCGUGCUUAACACAUGCAAGUCGAACGGAAAGGCCCUGCUUUUGUGGGGUGCUCGAGUGGCGAACGGGUGAGUAACACGUGAGUAACCUGCCCUUGACUUUGGGAUAACUUCAGGAAACUGAGGCUAAUACCGGAUAGGAGCUCCUGCUGCAUGGUGGGGGUUGGAAAGUUUCGGCGGUUGGGGAUGGACUCGCGGCUUAUCAGCUUGUUGGUGGGGUAGUGGCUUACCAAGGCUUUGACGGGUAGCCGGCCUGAGAGGGUGACCGGCCACAUUGGGACUGAGAUACGGCCCAGACUCUUACGGGAGGCAGCAGUGGGGAAUAUGGCACAAUGGGCGGAAGCCUGAUGCAGCAACGCCGCGUGCGGGAUGACGGCCUUCGGGUUGUAAACCGCUUUCGCCUGUGACGAAGCGUGAGUGACGGUAAUGGGUAAAGAAGCACCGGCUAACUACGU
This 467-nucleotide ribosomal RNA is filed under the name uncultured bacterium. RNAcentral's name for it is "partial 16S ribosomal RNA". It matches the Rfam family "Bacterial small subunit ribosomal RNA", at positions 28 to 506 of the family's 1533-position model. The record is from RNAcentral.